UUGCCGCAAGGCCUCCCGGGUAACCUACCACCCUUUGUUUAUUACACUUUGUUGCUUUGGCAAGCCUGCCCUCGGGCUGCUGGCUCCGGCCGGCGAGCGCUUGCCAGAGGACCUAAACUCUGUUUGUCUAUACUGUCUGAGUACUAUAUAAUAGUUAAAACUUUCAACAACGGAUCUCUUGGUUCUGGCAUCGAUGAAGAACGCAGCGAAAUGCGAUAAGUAAUGUGAAUUGCAGAAUUCAGUGAAUCAUCGAAUCUUUGAACGCACAUUGCGCCCCCUGGUAUUCCGGGGGGCAUGCCUGUCCGAGCGUCAUUACAACCCUCAAGCUCAGCUUGGUGUUGGGCCCCGCCGCCCCGGCGGGCCCUAAAGUCAGUGGCGGUGCCGUCCGGCUCCGAGCGUAGUAAUUCUUCUCGCUCUGGAGGUCCGGUCGUGUGCUCGCCAGCAACCCCCAAUUUUUUUCAGGUUGACCUCGGAUCAGGUAGGGAUACCCGCUGAACUUAA
RNAcentral lists this small RNA (501 nucleotides) under Onygenales sp. BSU2-1. Its description in RNAcentral is "eukaryotic LSU rRNA". The stretch from base 159 to 312 matches the Rfam family "5.8S ribosomal RNA". The record is from RNAcentral. Lineage: Eukaryota; Fungi; Ascomycota; Eurotiomycetes; Onygenales.